RNAcentral lists this long non-coding RNA (200 nucleotides) under Elaeis guineensis (African oil palm). Its description in RNAcentral is "long non-coding RNA (EGUI_LNC038988)". Lineage: Eukaryota; Viridiplantae; Streptophyta; Magnoliopsida; Arecales; Arecaceae. The record is from RNAcentral.
UCACCUUGCUCGAAUCUCCUAUUGACCUGCAACCCCUGCAAUGAAUUACAAAUAUGGUAAGAGCUACCGGUAUCCAAUACCCAGUCAGUUAUAUCACAAAUAGAAAAAUACCUUACCCAGCAACAGCUUGCUUCUUUCUCUGUCUUUUCAGAUCCAGAGAGGCAAUGUACUGAGGACAGUUCCUCUUCUAGUGCCCCCGC